Molecule: small nuclear RNA, 107 nt
Organism: Nomascus leucogenys (northern white-cheeked gibbon)
Lineage: Eukaryota; Metazoa; Chordata; Mammalia; Primates; Hylobatidae
Source: Ensembl
GUGCUUGUUUCAGCAUCAUAAAUACCCAAACUGGAGUGAUACAGAAAAGAUUAGCAUGGUCUCUAUACAAGGAUGACAUGCAAAUUCAUGAAGGGUUCAUGUUUUUA